GAAAGCCGUUAUUAGCCGUUUAUCGUCCAUUGAAUCUAUCACCUCCGAAAGUCUCUGUUCAACGUCCGCGGAAGAGAGUCCAUGAAUCUGACUAUGAAAAUUCCCAGGAGUUUUGGAAAAGGAGACCAUCCCAAAGCAAAAAAGGAAGGAGCACUUAUCAACCAGGGACAAUACUGAAGAAAGUCGUAGCCGGAGUCGGUGGUGCAAAGGAAUUUAAAAUUCAAUAACAAUCGUACAACAUUGAAUCCUGACUAUUAUCGUUGUUCAAGUGGGACAAAAUUCUUUUUUGUGGCCUCAAUCAGGGCUAUUCACGUUGAUAUGAAGAAUGUUAUGAUACUUACUGAUGAUUACAUCACCAUAUUCGACAAAGAAUGGAUUACGAACAGUAUUAUCGAUUAUAGGACAGCAGUAUUAAUGAAAUCCAAAAGAGAAGACAACACAGUUUACGUUUCGUUUGAGUUUAUUAGAUCGAUCCAAGUAGUAGUACAGCAAGCCCGUCGGUCAAUGGACGUUUCAAUAAUUUCAUUGUCGCUUAUCGAAAGGUUUUUCCUACAUCAACGAUGAAAUGGUCUCUGAAUAUUCCGCCUCAUCCUCCACAACGUGAUGGAUACAAUUGCGGGGUUUUCGUAAUUCAUUACAUUGAAUAAAUUCUCCCGGGAAGACUCCUACACAUCAGUCACUUCGAUCCUGCCGAAAAACGUGAAGACAUUAAACGGGGUAUCUUGGUAAAGUCUGUCGAUAUCGAACGUGUGCCGGAGACCUGCGAGAUAAGUUUAGCGCCUGCACUCGGAGGUGCAUAUGGUGUCAUUGUUUAUUCAUUCAAUUGUGUCAAUUGCUUUAUUAUAUCUAAAUGUUGUUGUGGCUUUUGAAUACCAUUGAUCAGAUACAUGUGAG
Long non-coding RNA from Fopius arisanus, 894 nucleotides. RefSeq lists it as uncharacterized. NCBI's taxonomy places the organism in Eukaryota, Metazoa, Arthropoda, Insecta, Hymenoptera, Braconidae. The record is from RefSeq and is a predicted model, not a curated record. The transcript is spliced from 4 exons.